CCUACGGGGGGCAGCAGUGAGGAAUAUUGGUCAAUGGACGAGAGUCUGAACCAGCCAAGUAGCGUGAAGGAUGACUGCCCUAUGGGUUGUAAACUUCUUUUAUAUGGGAAUAAAAUGUUCCACGUGUGGGAUUUUGUAUGUACCAUAUGAAUAAGGAUCGGCUAACUCCGUGCCAGCAGCCGCGGUAAUACGGAGGAUCCGAGCGUUAUCCGGAUUUAUUGGGUUUAAAGGGAGCGUAGGUGGAUUGUUAAGUCAGUUGUGAAAGUUUGCGGCUCAACCGUAAAAUUGCAGUUGAAACUGGCAGUCUUGAGUACAGUAGAGGUGGGCGGAAUUCGUGGUGUAGCGGUGAAAUGCUUAGAUAUCACGAAGAACUCCGAUUGCGAAGGCAGUUCACUGGACUGCAACUGACACUGAGGCUCGAAAGUGUGGGUAUCAAACAGGAUUAGAGACCCCAGUAGUC
Molecule: ribosomal RNA, 460 nt
Filed under: uncultured bacterium
Lineage: Bacteria
Description: partial 16S ribosomal RNA
Rfam family: Bacterial small subunit ribosomal RNA
Source: RNAcentral